AAACAGCUACACAACUACUGCAGACAACAAGGAAAACUGAGGGACCAAAUCAGGACAACCCUCUAAACAUGACUGCACUUCAUGUUGUACAGACAACCGCCCAGCCUGCUGUUCCAGUGCAUCUCCUCCAGCUGUUGGGUCAUCUCCAUGCAGGUGGAAACUUUGAGAGGAGACAAAAUCCACUGGAAUGAAAACUGCAGUGAGCUUUUGAGAAAACACUCUACACUGCAAGGCGCUGCUGCUGCAUUACCAUGGCAACGGUGAAGAGAGCAUGUGUUGGAGUCAGAGUCUCAAGAGGUGAAGCAGCAGGUGAGUGGUGACUGGCACUGUACUGAUCUGUGGAGGCGGGGGCAAGGAAGCCUGCUGGGAUUUGAGUUUUCCACCUGAUCCAUCUCUGGACACACAUGUGACCUACUGAAGCCGAUGACAGUGGAGCUGACAAAUAGCGUUCUGCAUGGAGUUAAUGAGGGAAGAGCAGAUGUAUGCUGUCCCUCUGAAGAUACAAGUGCAUGUGCCUCAGAUACAAUUAAUUGUGUACUGUAUAUGCAUGCUCACA
This is a long non-coding RNA of Siniperca chuatsi (mandarin fish), 556 nucleotides long. RefSeq lists it as uncharacterized. The record is from RefSeq and is a predicted model, not a curated record. Lineage: Eukaryota; Metazoa; Chordata; Actinopteri; Centrarchiformes; Sinipercidae. The transcript is spliced from 4 exons.